Molecule: long non-coding RNA, 919 nt
Organism: Nicotiana tabacum (common tobacco)
Lineage: Eukaryota; Viridiplantae; Streptophyta; Magnoliopsida; Solanales; Solanaceae
Source: RefSeq, a predicted model, not a curated record
UUCGCCUUUCUUACUUCUUCAGCUUAACUGCAAAUCUCCAAGCAUCAAACCUGGGCCUCAGCAGACUUAGCUUCAAGAUUCAGCUUAAGGUUGCCAUCAUCAUCAUAUUGUAGAUUCUCAAAACGUUAAAGGCCUAAAGGAUAUUACGGAGUAGCACAAACAAGCAAGAGAGUCACUGUCCAAAUUGAACAGAUCAGGCGCAAAAAGGAAAGAGUUCCUGUUUUUGUUUCCCACAUGAUUUGAUUCUGCCUAAUAAUUCCAGGAUUCCACUCUUUGACAAGUCCCAUUGUCUUUUCCUUUCCAAAACUUGCAUUUCAACAUUACAAGAUUCUAUAACAUCUGCUAUUUUUUUCAAACAAGGCAUUCUUUGGAAUUUAAAUCAGCUACUUAAAAAGUUCAUAUUCUUCGCUUACACCUAAACAGCAAUUCAACAAACAUUUUAACAUACAUAUGGCCUAUACUGAAGAAAUUACCUCUGCACCAAACACCAAAACGGCCCACAUCGCCAAUGGUUGCCUUAUGGUUUUCUUCAGUUUCAUGGUUUUUGUAUGCCUGCUCAAAUGCUGCUGCUCUAAACAGGAAGAAUUUUCACCAGAUUUACCAAGGCAAAGCACAGAAAAGCCUGAACAGCCCUCAACUACAGCAGCUGAUCAACAGGAUCAUAGUAUGGUUGUGAUCAUGCCCGGGGACCGAACUCCGACCUGCUUAGCAAUGCCUGUCAUGUCUUCACCUCACCAUACUGAUAAAGUGUGACUAAUUUUUAGAUCUUACUUUAUCGGUCCCCAGCCAGAAUAAAAGAGGAGGAUAGCAGUAGGUUGACAUGUAGUGCAAAACUAGUCAAAUUACCAUGAGUCCUGACUAUACAUAUUAUGAUGAUUCAUAUAUAUUUAUUCUAACUCUAACUAGCUUGGGAUUGAGA